RNAcentral lists this microRNA precursor (204 nucleotides) under Oryza barthii. RNAcentral's name for it is "MIR812 microRNA precursor family". It matches the Rfam family "MIR812 microRNA precursor family". Lineage: Eukaryota; Viridiplantae; Streptophyta; Magnoliopsida; Poales; Poaceae. The record is from Rfam by way of RNAcentral.
AAUAGAUGACGUCGUUGACUUUUUCUCACAUGUUUGAUCAUUCGUCUUAUUCAAAAAAUUUACAUAAUUAUAAUUUAUUUUGUUAUGAGUUGUUUUAUCACUCAUAGUACUUUAAGUGUGAUUUAUAUCUUAUACAUUUGCAUAAAUUUUUUAAAUAAGACGAAUAGUCAAACAUGUGAGAAAAAGUCAACGGCGUCAUCUAUU